AAAGAGUACACGAUUUAUUAAUGGACUGAAUGCAAAUUUCACAUUCUUGUUUGUCAUAAAUGUUGAUUCGACAUGAACAUACAGAAUAUACACAGAAACCAGUGAUAGCGAUGAAAGAUAUUUGUAACGUUACACGCUGCCCUUUUGCAUCUCAGAGUUCAACUUCGCCCAUUGCAGUAGUUCACACCAUUAGCAGUGUCAUGUUGCUUUGUGUUUACUCGAUUAUCGCCCCAUAUACGAAUUGUACCAUCAUCACUCGCAGAUGCCAGCAUAUGAGGAUUUGUUGGGUUCCAGCUAACACAGUUCACCGCCCCUGAAUGUCCAGCCAGUGUCGCAACAAGUUCACCUGAGCCUCUGUGCCAUAUAUAAACCUGUGAAUCCUCGCUUCCACUGGCAAUAAAAGCUUGAUCUAGUCCUCCAAAGCAAGACCUCACAACGAACCGAGAACGUUUAUGCCCCUUAUAUUUGGCUACAAGUUUUACAGUUCCCUCGAUAUUCCAGAGAUGAAUUUCUUGGUUUGAAAGACUAACCAACACAUACUUACUGUCCAUGGACAAUACAAAUGAGGUUAUUGCCUGAUCCUCCUGAAUUACUCUCUCUACUUUUGAUUCCCAUCCAACUAAUACUAUCAUAUUUUCUUUACAAACAGAGAUAACAUGCUUCCCAUCACUUGUUAUCCCCAAGUCCGAUAUUCUAGUAGCCCUGUGGCCUUUCCAACACUCAAGCUCUUUCCCUUCCAAAUCCCACAUGCUAAUGCUUUUGUCAGUUACACCACAGAAUAUCCUUUUUCCAUCAGGAGCCCAGCCGCAUGAGAUAAACUUAACAAAUUUUUUCUCAUAAGUGUGUAUACGUACACCGGACUCGACAUCCCACCGAAUGACAGCUUCCUCUUCACCACAAGUGAGAAGCUGAUGGUCA
RNAcentral lists this unclassified non-coding RNA (918 nucleotides) under Hevea brasiliensis (rubber tree). The record is from RNAcentral. Lineage: Eukaryota; Viridiplantae; Streptophyta; Magnoliopsida; Malpighiales; Euphorbiaceae.